Molecule: ribosomal RNA, 205 nt
Filed under: uncultured bacterium
Lineage: Bacteria
Description: partial 16S ribosomal RNA
Rfam family: Bacterial small subunit ribosomal RNA
Source: RNAcentral
UACGUAGGGUGCAAGCGUUGUCCGGAAUUAUUGGGCGUAAAGAGCUCGUAGGCGGUCUGUCACGUCGGCUGUGAAAACCCGAGGCUCAACCUCGGGCCUGCAGUCGAUACGGGCAGACUAGAGUUCGGCAGGGGAGACUGGAAUUCCUGGUGUAGCGGUGAAAUGCGCAGAUAUCAGGAGGGAACACCCGGUGGGCGAAAGGCGG